GUAUUGAUUGAUUGAACGAAUGAUGAAAAUGUGACCAGAGAUUCACAGGAACCUAAUCCUACGUGGUUCAGUAUGUAUUAAUUCAAGGUUUGCAACAACUCUAUGGAACAUAAGUGCUACAAAUAAUGAAAAUCAACUGUUAAACUUUAACUUUUUAAUUUACUUUUCUGGUGUCCAGCUAGAGAAUGAACAUAUCUGUGUUUUCCUACAAGGAGAACAUCAGGACUCUGGUCAUGUUCUAAAUGCUUCCCUCAUAAGAACAUCUAAGCACCUUGAUUGUGACUUGCCAGCCACACCCUUCUCUGUGAAAAAUGACUGCAUUUUGCACAAAUGACAAUUUUCAGCAGGCAUCUGACAUAUUUACUUCAGGGGUGGACAACUUUUUGGCCCAGCAACUCUAGAGAUGUGUUUGUACUACAGGAUAGAAGGAUAUAGUCCCUGUUUGCCAGGAAUCCCAAAACCUGCAAAGAAUAUUCUUUUUUACUCAAGAUCAUUCAUGAGACAGACCUACCAGUAAAAGAUUAUUGGCCUAGAGAGAUGGUGAUGGAGAUUCAAAAUGCGGUAGAAGAACAACAAAUUAUUUUGCCUCUUUGCCAUGAUAACCUGACUCCCAAUGAAAGAGACCCAGGCUUAUACAAUGGCAUCCAGACAUCGGCCACUUGAUAUGCUUCACAGACUUGGGGACUCAAUUCUUUCCUGAACUUGGGGAUUGGAUUUACAAGGUCUUCAUUUUAUGCACAUAUCUAGAGUUUAUUUCAUCAUUAAAGAACUGUGCUUGAAGAUCUACCUCCUCCUAGAAAGAGGAACCAUAGUUGUAAA
This is a long non-coding RNA of Neofelis nebulosa (Clouded leopard), 819 nucleotides long. RefSeq lists it as uncharacterized. NCBI's taxonomy places the organism in Eukaryota, Metazoa, Chordata, Mammalia, Carnivora, Felidae. The record is from RefSeq and is a predicted model, not a curated record. The transcript is spliced from 4 exons.